Molecule: ribosomal RNA, 776 nt
Filed under: uncultured Neocallimastigales
Lineage: Eukaryota; Fungi; Neocallimastigomycota; Neocallimastigomycetes; Neocallimastigales
Description: partial large subunit ribosomal RNA
Rfam family: Eukaryotic large subunit ribosomal RNA
Source: RNAcentral
UAUGUGAUCGUCUCUCGCAUAUCAAUAAGCGGAGGAAAAGAAACUAACAAGGAUUCCCCUAGUAACGGCGAGUGAAGCGGGAAGAGCUCAAAUUUGAAAUCUUAAAGGGUUUCCCUUUACGAAUUGUAGUUUAAAGAAGUGUUUUCUGUUGAGGUUUUGGUAAAAGUUCUUUGGAAUAGGACAUCAUAGAGGGUGAGAAUCCCGUAUUUGACCUUUACUUUCAACUUUGUGAUACACUUUCAAAGAGUCGGAUUGUUUGGGAAUGCAGUCCAAAAUGGGUGGUAAAUUUCAUCUAAAGCUAAAUAUUGGCGAGAGACCGAUAGCGAACAAGUACCGUGAGGGGAAAGAUGAAAAGAACUUUGAAAAGAGAGUUAAACAGUACGUGAAAUUGUCAAAAGGGAAGCGUUUGACACCAGUGUUGUUUUUCUGAAAAUCAAUUAAAGAACUGUUUAUGCUAAGCUGUUUAGACUUUAUCAGCUAACUGUUUAGUUUUGAGCUUUUCUUUAAUGCACUUUUCAGUUAACAAGUCAACAUCAAUUUCUUUUGCUGUAAAAAAGCUUGAGGAAGGUGGCUUGAGAUUCGUCUUAAGUGUUUAUAGGCCUCUUGCCUAUGCAGUCGGAGAGAUUGAGGUCUGCAGCGUAGAUCCUUCGGGGCUAAAUGCAUUUGUGCUAAGUUAUAGCAUUUUAUAGACAACUUGUUGACUAUGAUUUGUCUUGUAGCUUACUCGCUUAUGUUAUUUUACCUACGCUUAGGAUGUUGAGUAGCGACAUACGCAC